GUAGUGUGUUGGAGCCAGCUCGGACUAGCUUAGAAGAGUCAACUGUGCACGAUGCUUUUCAACUCUGUCUUCAGGGACUUCAGGAGCACUGCUUAAAACCGGCCUUGGUGAGGAGGGAUUUAUUUCAUUUGCUCCUGAAGUUAAAUCUCAUGAAAUCAUGUGAAAUUCAGUGAUGUGUUACUGGGAACAAAAAGGGUUACGUUAUUAAUUGUGAUGCCUUCCCACAAGAGCUGUGUCUGUACUGUGCCACAUAACCCCUGAAGCUGAAUAAAGAACUUUCUCCUUGAUUCCCCCAGCCCUCCAAAAACAUCAGCAGGUGAUGAGGUCCCAUUGUAAAUGACCCAAGGACAAACAGCUCAUGACUUCAAAGGAGGCCUCUUCAACCCAGGGCAAAUUCAGGCCUUCAUUCCAGGGGUCUGUAAGCAAGUACUGAGUGAAGAGAUAUCCUAAAAUCAAUCGUUCCUCUUUGCCAACCCUGGAUAAUGGCAACAACUUCUUUAGUGGCAUGCUGCAUGCUCUGUUUGGUCAUGUCCAGAGAUACCCAAGAUAAAGAAGUUUGAUAAAUAUACACAUUAACUCAGCAAAAAUAACAUGGUUAUUUUCAUGAAUAUUGCACUUGGGCACAUCAGCAAAAUUCAAAAGUGAUAAAAGGUGAGCAUUGUAUAUGAAUUUUGCAUAUGUACAUGGUAAUAUUUUGACACUAGGAACAAUAUUUUAAGUUGAAAUGUCUAUAUUUUAAUUUAGUAAAGAUUUGGCAAGCCCCUGCUAUAUUAGCAAUAUCAAGAUAAUGAGAUAAAGAUCCCACUCUCAAUAAAAAUAUAAAAUUAUACAUGUUUCUUGUGCCCAUCAUCAGCCAUCGUUAUGAACAUCACUCUGAACUGUUAUGCACAAUAAGAUAACUAGAGGGUUAAAAAUGAAGGUUUUACUGCUCACGUUGAAUAUUAUUUUUAGAAAAGAAAGUCAUUUCUAUUAUAGAGGAGGCAUUGUGGUCUACUAUAAUGGCAAGCAUAUUAAAAACAAUGCAUUCCUGGUGAAAUAAUGCUUAGAGCAUAGUCAACAAAAUAAGCAGGCUGCUGAAAAAAGUUUAAAUGUCAUAUUUCAUUAAUUCUAAGACACAUUUCCUCCUGCUUUUAGAUCUCUCAAAUUGAAAGGCAUCUUACAACCUAUAGAUGAAAUCUAGUAAAUAGAAUAAGAUAAAAAGUAUCUUAGUUUCUUUCCUUGGGUUGUUUGCCUUUCUUUUAAGGGAAGGUUUGUUUGACUGUUGUGUUUUGUUUUUAACAGCUUGUUUAUGAAUCUUCCCUUUUCUAGCGUUAAUGAUUGUGUGAGCCUAGAAUUUAAAUGGUACAAAACUCUGAUUUUUGUUUUUAUUCUUUGUUCUGACCAUUACUGAGGGGAGUACAGGACACUGAAGCAGAAACAAGGUCUGAAAGUGGCAAUGUGGACCUUGCUCCUCUGUGGAGGACUCUGGUACCUGUCUGUGUCUGAAUCUUGCCACUUCCACUUAUCUAGCUUUGCGAUCUGGAAAAGAUUAACUUUAGCCUCUCUGUGCCUCAGUUUCUUCAAGUGCUGAAUAAUGGUAUCUACCUCAUAGUGCUGCUAUGAGGGUUGAGUUUAAUAUAAGUAAGGCCUUAGAAUAAUGCCUGGCACAUACUAAAUAUUCUCUCAACUUUAGCUGUUACCAUUGUGCCUCACUUCC
Molecule: long non-coding RNA, 1696 nt
Filed under: Homo sapiens (human)
Lineage: Eukaryota; Metazoa; Chordata; Mammalia; Primates; Hominidae
Description: HSALNT0046706
Source: RNAcentral